This 429-nucleotide ribosomal RNA is filed under the name Bacteroidota bacterium. RNAcentral's name for it is "Bacteroidetes bacterium partial 16S ribosomal RNA". It matches the Rfam family "Bacterial small subunit ribosomal RNA", at positions 355 to 776 of the family's 1533-position model. The record is from RNAcentral. Lineage: Bacteria; Pseudomonadati; Bacteroidota.
UAGGGAAUCUUCCGCAAUGGACGCAAGUCUGACGGAGCAACGCCGCGUGAGUGAAGAAGGUUUUCGGAUCGUAAAACUCUGUUAUUAGGGAAGAACAAAUGUGUAAGUAACUAUGCACGUCUUGACGGUACCUAAUCAGAAAGCCACGGCUAACUACGUGCCAGCAGCCGCGGUAAUACGUAGGUGGCAAGCGUUAUCCGGAAUUAUUGGGCGUAAAGCGCGCGUAGGCGGUUUUUUAAGUCUGAUGUGAAAGCCCACGGCUCAACCGUGGAGGGUCAUUGGAAACUGGAAAACUUGAGUGCAGAAGAGGAAAGUGGAAUUCCAUGUGUAGCGGUGAAAUGCGCAGAGAUAUGGAGGAACACCAGUGGCGAAGGCGACUUUCUGGUCUGUAACUGACGCUGAUGUGCGAAAGCGUGGGGAUCAAACAGG